CUCUGUUCCACUUUUCUUAACCUGUCAGGAUCGAACAGUCACACUUUCUGACAUAUUUGGGGCUCCUUCUUGUGCCUUUCCAAAUUCUUCCACAUUGACGUCACCCUUUAAUUGGGACCCCUGCAUCUUUGCUUAGAGACUCACGGGUCUCUCCACAGCAGUACCUCUGCCUCGCUGAGGGCCUGCACCGCUGUCUUCUCGGUUGUAUUCAGUCUUUCUCCUCACGCGCACCAUUUGUUAUCCCCCUUCCUUUGGGAAUCCCACCCCCUGCUCUCGUUAUUGUUCCGCUCUGAUUGUCCCAAUGGGCUCCACAAACCUUAAUUAGCGCUGACUGAGAUUAAUGGUGGCGAACUUAUUGACCCGCUGAUUGUGAAGUAAUCUUAAGUGCCACGAAUGAGAGAAGAUAUUAGUGAUGGCUUUAUCCGUGUGGCUGUUUUCAUUGCAAAAUUCAAACGGCUACGUUUUACACAUUAAUUAAUAUUACUGAAAUAGAAAAUUAAACAAUAUAAUGCUCUUCAGAUAGAAUUGUGAAUUUCUUUUUCCCAUUACAGCCUUAGUGGAGCCAUUUCUGCCGACCGAAGUGUGUUCCUCUUUGAAUGGGCCAUCUCGGGUCAGGACCCCUCCCGGUCCCUUUUUAAGGCAUCAGCCGAGCAUGAAUUCUAACCACACCACAUGGUUUGGGUGAGGAAAGCAUUGUCUGUUCAAAUGAGUGUUUGUGAGAAGAAGAAAUAACUUUUCCUCUCAGUUGUGCUGGAUAGAAUACAGACUACAAUCCUACUUGUUUUUAGAAUGAAUUAUAUUAGAUUUGUAGAAUUUUACAUUUCUUGUGGUAAAUAGUAUUUAUAUGGCUCUUGGUUAAUGUGCAGCUGCAUUGACUCAUUAACUCUUUCUGUCUAAAGUCUAUUGAAAUUGUAUAAAAUCAGCAGUAUUAAAUGCAACCAUGAGGCCAGGCUGGACUCAAAGUCCUUAACUAUAGAAGGGUUCAAACGCACUAAUAAACCAUUUAGAAAUGCUACACAUUUUUUGCACACGUUUAAUUUCUGCUGUAUGUAUCUGUUAAGUAUGAGUAGGCUUGUAUUUGCAAGUUUGUAAAUGCACAUGCAUGGUGUACAUCUCCAUCAAUUUGAAAUGGAACCAACGUUAGCGCACGUUAGCGAGUUUGUGCAUGUUGAUCUCACGAUGUAGUUCUUUGUGUUUCUGGGAUGGUUACGUCAUUGAGCCAAGCCGCGGCGUUUGUGAGGAGGGAAGGCUGCCUCAGGUUGCAUGUGUGCUACGUGGCCGCUGUGUUUCAGUCUGACCCCGUGGUAAUGAGGCCACAGGGUGCCGAGAACAGCGUCUCUCUAACAUGGAGAGCGGAGGAAAGAGGCUUCUCUCUGCUCUCAGGACUAUCAACUUUAUUUUGUGGUUUUGUGUGGAAUCCCCACUACUGAUUAGCCCAAGACAGAAAAAUCAAUACCUCUCCCUGUGGAACCUUGGCGAUUACACCCAGAUGAAACUCCCACACCUGAAACCGAGACAAAGGAGGCAGCUCAAGCAUCACAAGUUCCCAUCACCAGCAUGCCUAUUAUUUAAUUUGGUGUGGAAGUAAAGUUGCUCUUUGUGCCACGCCUGCCUUCUCCUCCUCCUGCUCGCGCCAUCAUUGCCGAGGCCACUAGAGGCUGACGUUGUCCUCUGGUGUCUGAGCUUCAGGGUCCUUUUGAAAACACCAGCAUCCCACCAGUACAUGGCAAAGAAGGUACUUUCCC
Pungitius pungitius (ninespine stickleback) is the source of this 1745-nucleotide long non-coding RNA. RefSeq lists it as uncharacterized. The transcript has 3 exons. The record is from RefSeq and is a predicted model, not a curated record. NCBI's taxonomy places the organism in Eukaryota, Metazoa, Chordata, Actinopteri, Perciformes, Gasterosteidae.